UGAUUAUGGCUCAGGAUGAACGCUAGCGGCAGGCUUAAUACAUGCAAGUCGAGGGGCAGCAGGGGUAGCAAUACUCGCUGGCGACCGGCAAACGGGUGAGGAACAUGUACGCAACCUUCCUUUAACUGGAGGAUAGCCCCUCGAAAGAGGGAUUAAUACUCCGUAACAUAAUGAAGUGGCAUCACUUUAUUAUUAUAGCUCCGGCGGUUAAAGAUGGGCGUGCAACUGAUUAGAUAGUUGGCGGGGUAACGGCCCACCAAGUCUGCGAUCAGUAACUGGUGUGAGAGCACGACCAGUCACACGGGCACUGAGACACGGGCCCGACUCCUACGGGGGGCAGCAGUAAGGAAUAUUGGUCAAUGGACGCAAGUCUGAACCAGCCAUGCCGCGUGGAGGAUUAAGGCCCUCUGGGUUGUAAACUCCUUUUAUCUGGGAAGAAAUGUGUUUUUUCUAAGACACUUGACGGUACCAGAGGAAUAAGCACCGGCUAACUCCGUGCCAGCAGCCGCGGUAAUACGGAGGGUGCAAGCGUUAUCCGGAUUCACUGGGUUUAAAGGGUGCGUAGGCGGGCAGAUAAGUCAGUGGUGAAAUCUUCGAGCUUAACUCGGAAACUGCCGUUGAUACUAUUUGUCUUGAAUAUUGUGGAGGUAAGCGGAAUAUGUCAUGUAGCAGUGAAAUGCUUACAUAUGACAUAAAACACCCACUUGCUAAAGCGCCUUACUACACAAGGAUAGAAGCUCAUGCAGGAGGGCGUGGGGGAUCUAAAAGGAGGAGGAUAGAGAGGGUAUUCACCCCCUACGCGAGGGGUAGAGGAAAUACGC
RNAcentral lists this ribosomal RNA (821 nucleotides) under uncultured bacterium. RNAcentral describes it as "bacterial SSU rRNA". It matches the Rfam family "Bacterial small subunit ribosomal RNA", at positions 14 to 827 of the family's 1533-position model. The record is from RNAcentral.